AUCUUUGCUGUCGGAGUCCUCCUUGCCUCUGAUCUGAGGAGAUAUAUCUAAUGAGUCGACUGGUUUAACUGGCUUGUCCCUCUCAGAUGAAGUUCCCUCAACUAUAUCAACUCUCGGUGUUGAUGAACGGCCUGUAGCAAUGGUAGCUGAAGGAAAAGCCUUCUCUGGUGGAACAACUGGUUUAUAACUUGAUGGUAGGAGAUCAUCCCAGUUCUCCAAAAGCUCCUUGUACACCUUACGAAGAGU
Molecule: unclassified non-coding RNA, 246 nt
Filed under: Hevea brasiliensis (rubber tree)
Lineage: Eukaryota; Viridiplantae; Streptophyta; Magnoliopsida; Malpighiales; Euphorbiaceae
Source: RNAcentral